Molecule: ribosomal RNA, 441 nt
Filed under: bacterium enrichment culture clone A03_E2_031 (1/77)
Lineage: Bacteria
Description: bacterial SSU rRNA
Rfam family: Bacterial small subunit ribosomal RNA
Source: RNAcentral
UUGGGUUAAGUCCCGCAACGAGCGCAACCCUCAUUUUCAGUUGCCAUCAGGUUUGGCUGGGCACUCUGGAGAAACUGCCCGUGACAAGCGGGAGGAAGGCGGGGAUGACGUCAAGUCCUCAUGGCCCUUACGGGCUGGGCUACACACGUGCUACAAUGGCGGUGACAAUGGGCAGCGAAGGGGCGACCUGGAGCUAAUCCCCAAAAACCGUCUCAGUUCGGAUUGUACUCUGCAACUCGAGUGCAUGAAGGUGGAAUCGCUAGUAAUCGUGGAUCAGCAUGCCACGGUGAAUACGUUCCCGGGCCUUGUACACACCGCCCGUCACACCAUGGGAGUUGGUUUUACCCGAAGGUGGUGAGCUAACCCGCAAGGGAAGCAGCCAACCACGGUAAGGUCAGCGACUGGGGUGAAGUCGUAACAAAGUAGCCGAAUCCCGCGGCC